UCACCUUUCCUUCGGGACAGGGGAGACAGGUGGUGCAUGGUUGUCGUCAGCUCGUGUCGUGAGAUGUUGGGUUAAGUCCCGCAACGAGCGCAACCCUUAUCCUUAGUAGCCAGCASGYAAAGSUGGGCACUCUAGGGAGACUGCCAGGGACAACCUGGAGGAAGGUGGGGAUGACGUCAAAUCAUCAUGCCCCUUAUGAUUUGGGCUACACACGUGCUACAAUGGCGUAAACAAAGAGAGGCGASAGGGCGACCUGGASCAAAUCUCAAAAAUAACGUCCCAGUUCGGACUGUAGUCUGCAACCCGACUACAYGAAGCUGGAAUCGCUAGUAAUCGCGAAUCA
Molecule: ribosomal RNA, 343 nt
Filed under: uncultured bacterium
Lineage: Bacteria
Description: bacterial SSU rRNA
Rfam family: Bacterial small subunit ribosomal RNA
Source: RNAcentral